This 497-nucleotide ribosomal RNA is filed under the name uncultured bacterium. RNAcentral describes it as "partial 16S ribosomal RNA". It matches the Rfam family "Bacterial small subunit ribosomal RNA", at positions 28 to 507 of the family's 1533-position model. The record is from RNAcentral.
GAUGAACGCUGGCGGCGUGCCUAAUACAUGCAAGUCGAGCGAACAGACUAGGAUCUUGCUCCUCUGACGUUAACUGCGGACGGGUGAGUAACACGUGGAUUACCUACCUCUAAGACUGGGAUAACUUCGUGACACCGGCGCUAAUACCGGAUAAUAUAUUGAACCGCAUGGUUCAAUAGUGAAAGACUGUUUUGCUGUCACUUAUACAUGGUUCCGCGCCGCCUUAGCUAGUUGGUAAGGUAACGGCUUACCAAGGCGCCGAUGCUUAGCCGACCUGAGAGGGAGAUCGACCAGACGGGAACUGAGAAACGGUCCAGACUCCGAGGGGAGGCAGCAGUAGGGAAUCUUCCGCAAUGGGCGAAAGCCGGACGGAGCAAAGCCGCGUGAGGGAUGAAGGUCUUAGGAUCGUAAAACGAUGUUAUUAGGGAAGAAGAAAUGUGUAAGUGACUAUGAACGUCUUGACGGUACCUAAUCAGAAAGCCACGGCUAACUACGUG